GACUCCCUUUUCUCGUGUACCCAUUUCCCGUAUACCCAUUUCCCGUCUCAUUUUCUUCUCUCUUUCUCUUCUUGGUAUACUCUCAUGUGUCUCAUUUUCUUCUCUAUUUCUCUUCCUGGUAUAUCCAUUUCCCGUGUCUCAUUUCCCAUUUCCCGUGUACCCAUUUCCCGUAUACCCAUUUAAAUGAGACCUAUCUUUCUCGCUCUCUCACUCCCCUUCACGAAAGACAAAUCCUGAGAAGGGCUACACCACAUUCGAAGGCGAUAUAGGAGUACUAGUUUGUCGGCGGUGGCAGAGAGGCGACUUCUCUUCGGCUCAAUCUCUGUGGCUUCGCCUCAUCGGCUUCUUUGACUCUCCCAUUUCCUAGCCCGCCUAUAACUCCCCCGUUUUCUUCUUCGCACCCAUCUGUGCCUCUCCCUGCAUCGAAUCUUCCAUUUACGCAAUACCCACCAUUAGAAUCGACCAGUCCCUUCUGAGGCUAGGAGGCACGAUCUUCCCUAGAGGCUUUGGUUUGAAAUCAGGUGGACACAUAAUUUCUGGGAAUGUUUUUGAACCUCGGGCAUUAAACGAACUUCUUCCUCAGUGGAAACAGGAAGAGUUUAGCAAUUAAAUCCGGCCUCCCCCGACCUCUGCUCUCACACUCUCUCUCCAUAUUUAUCGGCAACAGACAGUCCAACAAGCCGAGCAGCGGAGGAAGUAGAGCACCCACUGACGGCGACUUCUCCAACAGGCUCUCAGCUCGCUCUCUCUGACUAGCAGCGGCGCAGGAAGGGACUCCUCCAACAGGUUGGAGAGAAAGACAGUUAAGAGGAAAAGAGUUUUUGCUCGAACAUAUUGUUCACCUUCUUGCCAAUGAGCAAUCACAACUUCGUGUCUUGAAGAAGCUGAACCCGUAAGUUUAAUCUCUUUAAUGUUCAUUAAUGUUUGAUAUAUUUUUCUAUGCGAGUAUGUCCUUGUAUUGUCUUUAGAUUUCCAUUAAUCAUUAUGUGUUGUACCUAAAUAUUUUAUACUAAAUUGUCUUAUUCUGAAGUGAGAUUUGUGAAAUGUAUUUGAGAUUAUGUUGAUUUGGUUUCACAACUAGCUAUGUAGAGUUUUUCUUUUUCUUUUAAAGCUGUUGCUUAGUUUAUUAUUUGCAUAAACUUGUGAGGAUGAGUUCUAUGUAGAGGUAGAAUUACGUAUUUUAUGGAAAUUUUAUGUAAUGUUCAUGUAAUUUGUUGGUAAUAGUGUAAACUAUUAAACACUUGACAUAAGGUAGAGUAGAUUAUAUAUAUAUUUAAAGUGACUGGUAGAUUAUAUAUAUUUAAUGUUCAUGAUCAUGACUAUACGUUUAAUAGGCCCUCUCUUAUGCAUUUCAGAAAUAGUGACUUUUGGCUGUCUAAACUGUUGCUUUGAAUAUCAAACUUCUUCUGAUGUGGCCCCCAGGUUAGCAAGAAUAUAUACAGAAAAUUCAGAUUGUAUUUUACUGUUCAGAACAUAUAUAUUUCACAUGGAAAAAGUAAACUAUUUCUUACUUUUGAACUUGGGAGUGGUACAAAAAUACACACAUAUGUUUAAACAGUUCAGAACAUAUAUAUUUCACAAAAAAAUAGAUAAUAUGAUUUUGUGAUUUCUUAUAUUCAUGAUUUUAGAUUACUACUCCAGACCUCUUUGAUUUAAUUAAGUCUUUCUCAUUAAUAUUGCAUUCCA
Molecule: long non-coding RNA, 1686 nt
Organism: Humulus lupulus (European hop)
Lineage: Eukaryota; Viridiplantae; Streptophyta; Magnoliopsida; Rosales; Cannabaceae
Exons: 4
Source: RefSeq, a predicted model, not a curated record